RNAcentral lists this ribosomal RNA (449 nucleotides) under uncultured bacterium. Its description in RNAcentral is "SSU rRNA". It matches the Rfam family "Bacterial small subunit ribosomal RNA", at positions 26 to 518 of the family's 1533-position model. The record is from RNAcentral.
AGAGUGAACGCUGGCGGCAGGCCUAACACAUGCAAGUCGAGCGGGCGUAGCAAUACGUCAGCGGCAGACGGGUGAGUAACGCGUGGGAACGUACCUUUUGGUUCGGAACAACACAGGGAAACUUGUGCUAAUACCGGAUAAGCCCUUACGGGGAAAGAUUUAUCGCCGAAAGAUCGGCCCGCGUCUGAUUAGCUAGUUGGUGAGGUAACGGCUCACCAAGGCGACGAUCAGUAGCUGGUCUGAGAGGAUGAUCAGCCACAUUGGGACUGAGACACGGCCCAAACUCCUACGGGAGGCAGCAGUGGGGAAUAUUGGACAAUGGGCGCAAGCCUGAUCCAGCCAUGCCGCGUGAGUGAUGAAGGCCCUAGGGUUGUAAAGCUCUUUUGGUGCGGGAAGAUAAUGACGGUACCGCAAGAAUAACGCCCGGCUAACUUCGCGCCAGCAGCCGC